ACUCAAAUGAAUUGACGGGGACCCGCACAAGCGGUGGAGCGUGUGGUUUAAUUCGACGCUACGCGCAGAACCUUACCAGGGCUUGACAUCCUCGAAAUCUGCAGGAAACUGCGGAGUGCCUGUAAGGGAAUCGAGAGACAGGUGAUGCAUGGCCGUCGUCAGCUCGUGUCGUGAGAUGUAGGGUUAAGUCCCUCAACGAGCGCAACCCUCGUCGCAAGUUAUAUUAUCUUGUGAGACUGCCCCGGUAACGGGGAGGAAGGGGAGGAUGAUGCCUGGUCCGCAUUUCCCUUAUGUCCUGGGCUACACACACGCUACAAUGGCCGGUACAAUGGGUUGCCAAACCGCAAGGUGGAGCUAAUCCUAGCAAAACCGGUCCCAGUUCGGAUCGGGGGCUGAAACUCGCCCCCGUGAAGUCGGAAUCGCUAGUAACCGUAGGUCAGCACACUACGGUGAAUACGUUCCCGGGUCUUGUACACACCGCCCGU
RNAcentral lists this ribosomal RNA (485 nucleotides) under uncultured bacterium. Its description in RNAcentral is "partial 16S ribosomal RNA". It matches the Rfam family "Bacterial small subunit ribosomal RNA", at positions 899 to 1397 of the family's 1533-position model. The record is from RNAcentral.